This 444-nucleotide ribosomal RNA is filed under the name uncultured soil bacterium. Its description in RNAcentral is "bacterial SSU rRNA". It matches the Rfam family "Bacterial small subunit ribosomal RNA", at positions 26 to 518 of the family's 1533-position model. The record is from RNAcentral.
AGAACGAACGCUGGCGGCAUGCCUAAUACAUGCAAGUCGAACGAACACUUCGGUGUUAGUGGCGCACGGGUGCGUAACGCGUGGGAAUCUGCCCUUGGGUUCGGAAUAACAGUUGGAAACGACUGCUAAUACCGGAUGAUAUCGAAAGAUCAAAGAUUUAUCGCCCAGGGAUGAGCCCGCGUAGGAUUAGCUAGUUGGUGAGGUAAAGGCUCACCAAGGCGACGAUCCUUAGCUGGUCUGAGAGGAUGAUCAGCCACACUGGGACUGAGACACGGCCCAGACUCCUACGGGAGGCAGCAGUAGGGAAUAUUGGACAAUGGGCGCAAGCCUGAUCCAGCAAUGCCGCGUGAGUGAUGAAGGCCUUAGGGUUGUAAAGCUCCUUACCCGAGAUGAUAAUGACAGUAUCGGAGAAUAAGCCCCGGCUAACUCCGUGCCAGCAGCCGC